CCUACGGGAGGCAGCAGUCGAGAAUCAUUCACAAUGGGGGAAACCCUGAUGCUGCGACGCCGCGUGGGGGAAUGAAGGUCUUCGGAUUGUAAACCUCUGUCAUGUGGGAGCAAAUUAAAAAGAUAGUACCACAAGAGGAAGAGACGGCUAACUCUGUGCCAGCAGCCGCGGUACUACAGCGGUCUCAAGCGUUGUUCGGAGGCACUGGGCGUAAAUCGUGCGUAGUCUGUUUCGUAAGUCGGGUGUGAAAGGCGCGGGCUCAACCCGCGGACGGCACAUGAUACUGCGAGACUAGAGUAAUGUAGGGGGAACCGGAAUUCGCGGUGUAGCAGUGAAAUGCGUAGAUAUCGAGAGGAACACUGGUGGCGAAGGCGGGUUACUGGACAUUAACUGACGCUGAGGCACGAAGGCCAGGGGAGCGAAAGGGAUUAGAUACCCCUGUAGUC
RNAcentral lists this ribosomal RNA (446 nucleotides) under uncultured bacterium. RNAcentral describes it as "partial 16S ribosomal RNA". It matches the Rfam family "Bacterial small subunit ribosomal RNA", at positions 338 to 795 of the family's 1533-position model. The record is from RNAcentral.